GACGAACGCUGGCGGCGCGCCUAACACAUGCAAGUCGAACGGAGUCAAGAGGAGCUUGCUUUUCUUGACUUAGUGGCGAACGGGUGAGUAACGCGUGAGUAACCUGCCCUGGAGUUGGGGACAACAGUUGGAAACGACUGCUAAUACCGCAUAAGCCCACGGCCUGGCAUCGGGCUGAGGGAAAAGGAUUUAUUCGCUGCUGGAUGGACUCGCGUCCAAUUAGCUAGUUGGUGAGGUAACGGCCCACCAAGGCGACGAUUGGUAGCCGGACUCGGAGGUGGAACGGCCACAUUGGGACUGAGCCACGGCCCAGACUCCUACGGGAGGCAGCAGUGGGGGAUGUUGCACAAUGGGGGAAACCCUGAUGCAGCGACGCCGUGUGGAGGAAGAAGGUUGUCGGAUUGUAAACUCCUGUCGUUAGGGACGAUAAUGACGGUACCUAACAAGAAAGCACCGGCUAACUACGUGCCAGCAGCCGCAGUAA
This 484-nucleotide ribosomal RNA is filed under the name uncultured bacterium. RNAcentral describes it as "partial 16S ribosomal RNA". It matches the Rfam family "Bacterial small subunit ribosomal RNA", at positions 28 to 523 of the family's 1533-position model. The record is from RNAcentral.